AUUGAACGCUGGCGGCAGGCCUAACACAUGCAAGUCGAACGGUAACAGGAAACAGCUUGCUGCUUCGCUGACGAGUGGCGGACGGGUGAGUAAUGUCUGGGAAACUGCCUGAUGUAGGGGGAUAACUACUGGAAACGGUAGCUAAUACCGCAUAACGUCGCAAGACCAACGAGGGGGACCUUCGGGCCUCUUGCCAUCGGAUGUGCCCAGAUGGGAUUAGCUAGUAGGUGGGGUAACGGCCCACCUAGGCGACGAUCCCUAGCUGGUCUGAGAACAUGACCAGCCACACUGGAACUGAGACACGGUCCAGACUCCUACGGGAGGCAGCAGUGGGGAAUAUUGCACAAUGGGCGCAAGCCUGAUGCAGCCAUGCCGCGUGUAUGAAGAAGGCCUUCGGGUUGUAAAGUACUUUCAGCGGGGAGGAAGGGAGUAAAGUUAAUACCUUUGCUCAUUGACGUUACCCGCAGAAGAAGCACCGGCUAACUCCGUGCCAGCAGCCGCCGUAA
Molecule: ribosomal RNA, 506 nt
Filed under: uncultured bacterium
Lineage: Bacteria
Description: partial 16S ribosomal RNA
Rfam family: Bacterial small subunit ribosomal RNA
Source: RNAcentral